AUGAAGGAUGCUGCUGUGAGCCAUGCCACCCCAUCAGCAAGCAUUGAAGUGGACGCUCCCGAGACCAACCUAAGCAAGGAAGAUUCCCGCUCAUCUGACACUGAUUCCAAGCGCGUGCAUGGUGGCACUCCUGUGUCCACGACAGAAGCAGCUGAGACGGCAGUUCACAAUGAUAUGCCAUCUACAUGUGAGAGUCUUGGAACAAUAGCUCCAGCUCCUGUCGGUGCAGAUACUGCUAAGGCGACUGUUUCGCGUGCUGGUCUUCCACCUAGGCGUCGUAGCCCCCGCGAGCAAUCAACAGACAUAACCAACACACCGGCUGUAGCUAGGAGCAGCAGAGACGAGUCUGGUUAUGUUCCUGUGUCCACACUGUUCCCCCCACCUGCCAAAAGCAAUGCGAUGGAGAAACCGGAAGACCAGAGCACAACUGAUGCAGGUGUCAAGCCAGGCACGAGUGACGCAGGUGAACGUCCGGAGCAGACUGCGCCUUUACCAGCAGUGGAAAUCCCCAGCUUAAAUCUGCGCACUUCCAGGCUCCCAGUCAAUGUGGGUGUCCCAUACAGCCCAAACAAGAAGAUUGUCAAGAAAGCUGCGGCUGAUACCGCUGACAACACGCCCCGCCCUACAAAUAAGCCCGAUCAUUCGGUAGCGGCCGAUUCAGAUAUGUUUGUUGAUCUUUCACCCUUGGAUUCUGCCCCGCAAGUUGUUCGUGGUCCGGCCAGUAGGCAUGAGAGGCACCCAAUAGCCUUCACCCCACCGAGCUUCAGUCUUGGCAUCAGUCAAGAUGAACCAGUGGUGCCAGAUCCUAUGCCAGUUGCCUUUGCUUUCCUGGGAGGCAUGCCCGCAAUGAUGGCACAACCAAUGGUCGAGGGCAGGAAGGUUAUCAAGUUCGUAGAGCCGAUAGUUCAAGGAUCGAGGAGGCAGCAUUGCAGAGGAGGACCUCACGAGGGCAAGGGCAAUCAAGUUCCAACGUGCCUGCAGAUACGAUAUCUGAGGAUACCAUCAGGAGUGCCACCCCUGGUUCUGUGA
RNAcentral lists this ribosomal RNA (1029 nucleotides) under Triticum aestivum (bread wheat). RNAcentral describes it as "partial small subunit ribosomal RNA". Lineage: Eukaryota; Viridiplantae; Streptophyta; Magnoliopsida; Poales; Poaceae. The record is from RNAcentral.